This 4028-nucleotide long non-coding RNA is filed under the name Populus trichocarpa (black cottonwood). Its description in RNAcentral is "long non-coding RNA (PTRI_LNC003015)". Lineage: Eukaryota; Viridiplantae; Streptophyta; Magnoliopsida; Malpighiales; Salicaceae. The record is from RNAcentral.
UCUCUAGUGUUUCUCUCUAUUCUCUCCACACAUAAUAGCAUAAGCUCAGCUUGCUAUUUAUACACGAAUUCAAAACAAGAUAAUUCAACCUUCAAGUGUGAAGGCGGCUGGCGGCCAAUGGUGUGAAGGCGGCUGGCGGCUGCGGCUGGUGGCUGGCGGCUGGUCGGUCACAGCUGGUGGCUGGCUGGCCGGUGGUUGCCUUCCUUGACCUUCUAGAUUGAUUGAGUUUAAUACAACAAAUCUCCCCUUUAAACUCAAUCGAGGGAUGUCAUGCCAAGCAUGAACACUUCUCAUUUCAAUGCCUUCUCUCUGCUUGUAGCCUUUAUCCACUAAUUUGGCUUUCGUCUUGUAGACCCUUUUGACACCUAUUGCUUUCUUGCUUUCUGGUGGAUAAGUCAGCUUCCAGGUAUCAUUCUUCUCAAUGGCAUGCAUUUCUUCAUCCAUUGUUUCUAUCUUCUCUUCUGUGAUAGCUUUGUUGAAGCUAAGUGGAUCAUUAUCUGCAAAGAAACAAAACAAAUCUGUAUCUUCCAUUACUUGAGUGGCAUCGUACAGCUCUUCAAGAUUUCUCAUCCUUCUUGGUUCUUCUGAUGAGGAUGCUGAUGGUGGUGUUGAUGAUGAUGCUCCUGGUGUGUUCCUCCUGUUGAAUACAGGGAAUCUGUGUACCGGACUUUGUGGUUCAGCUGCUGGUACAAUCGGUUCUUCGAUAAGUACUGUUGGUACUUCUUCACCUUCAAGGAUCAAAUCAAUGUUGAUCCAUCUGACUGCUUCUUUAUUAUCAGUCCAUUCCCAAGAUUUAUCUUCUUCAAAGAUAACAUCUCUACUCAUAAUCACCUUCUUCGUGAUGGGAUUAUACAGCUUGUAUCCCAUCCUUCUUUCACCAUAUCCCACAAAGAUGCAUCUCUCGCUUUUAUCAUCGAGUUUUCUCCUUCUUGCAUCUGGGAUCUUUGCAUAUGCCACACAACCAAAGACUCGUAGAUGAGUAACACUUGGUUUGUGACCACUCCAUGCUUCUUCUGGAAUGACUCCUUGCAAACUUCUGGUUGGGCAGCGAUUCAGUAGAUACACUGCACAUGAUACAGCUUCAGCCCAGUAUUGCUUGGGCAACUUCUUUGCUUUGAGCAGACUUCUUGCCAUGUCAAGAAUCGUGCGAUUCUUUCUUUCAGCUACACCAUUCAGCUGUGGUGUAUAAGCUGGUGUUGUCUGAUGUCUGAUGCCUUGUUGUGUACAAUAGGCUUCAAAGUCAUUUGCUGUAUAUUCUCCACCUUGAUCAGAUCUCACUGUUCUGAUCAUGUAGCCACUUUGCUUCUCCACAAUUGCUUUAAAAUCUUUAAAACAAUUGAAUACUUCUGACUUCCUCUUCAGAAAGUAUAUCCACGUCUUUCUACUAAAAUCAUCAAUAAAAGUGAGGAAGUACCUAUUCUGUCCAGUCGACAUAGGCGUUAUUGGGCCACACACAUCUGUGUGUACUAACUCCAAUGGCCUCUUUGCUUUCCAGUUGACUUCUUUGGCAAAACUGGAUCUGUGAUGUUUGCUGAGGACACAACUCUCACAGACUUCAUCUGGAUGAUCAAUGUGAGGCAAACCUUUGACCAUCUGCUUGCUUGCUAGCAUCUUCAAGCUCGUGAAAUUCAGAUGUCCAAGCCUCAGGUGCCAAAGCCAUUCUUCACUGUUGGUGAUGGCACUCAAACACCUUGCUGCAUCAUACUGGAUGUUCAAAGGAAACAUCCUAUUCUUGGACAUUUUCACAUAGGCCAUUAAUCUCCAAUUGUUGUCUCUAAUUGUCAGAUGACAAUUCUUCGAGUAAAAAGUAUAUCCUCUCUCCAAAAGUUGACCUAAGCUGAUCAGGUUCUGCUUUAUGGCUGGGACAUAAUAGACAUUGGCGAUGUAGCUGGAAUCGCCAUUCUUCAACUUGAUUGGGAUGCUGCCUUUACCUUUGAACGGAACCUUUGAGGUAUCUCCAAAAGUAACUAGACCUUGCUUGGUCUCAUCUAGAUCACUAAAUAACUCUCGGUAGCCACACAUGUGAUUGCUGGCUCCAGUAUCUAGAUACCAUAUAUUUUCCUGUUUCUCGCCAAGUUCUUGUUGGACAAGAAAUGCAGCUUCUUCUAUGUCAUCCUUCUCUACAUAGUUAGCUUGCUCACGUAUCUCCAACGGAGCUUUCCUUCUGCAUUCAGUGCUAUAGUGCCCAAAUUGAUUGCAACUAUAACAUUGGAUAUUCCUCUUGUCACGGUUAUUGUAACCGCCUCCUCUUCCUCUAGGAGUGAAUGCUUGUUGACCUCGACCUCCUCUGGUGGUGUUUCUACCACCUCUUCCCCUGAAACUUGUAUUCCAAGAACCUCUUCCUUGGAAUCUCUGGAAUCCUCCUCUGGAUUGUUGACUUCCUGUUUGAGUGGUAUAUCACUUGUUGAAGUCUCCCCUUGCUCAUAUCUGUCCUUGAGAGACAGCUUUGCUUGUAAGGCAUGCUCGAUGGCCUUAUCUCCAUUUCGCUUUACAAUCUUCUGCUCAUGAGCUUGCAAAGAACUCAUAAGCUCAUCAAAUGUCAACUUGUCCACUUCCUUGGACUCUUCAAUAGCGACAACAACAAAAUCAAAUUUUGGAUCUAGGGAUCUCAAAAUUUUCUCAGUAAUUCGAGAAUCGAUGAUGGCUUCUCCAUUUCUCCUCAUCUGAUUGACUAUCACCAUAAUUCUUGUGUGAUAAUCAGAAAUAGACUCCGAGGACUUCAUUUGCAAUAACUCAAAUUCACCUCGCAAAGAUUGAAGACGAAUCUUCUUGAUUCUGUCAGCACCUUUGUAUUUUUGUUGGAGAGCCUCCCAUAUAUCAUGUGAUGUUUCAGCGGAAGCUAUGAUCUCGAAUGUAUCUUCAUCAAGACCUUGGUAGAUGAUGGUCUUUGCUUUGUUGUCUUUCUUUCUGUUGACUUUCAAGGCUUGCUUCUGUGCCUCUUGUAAAGCAUCUUCUUCUUCUUUGGACUCUGGUUCAUCAUAACCAUAGUGUACAAUCUCCAAACACUCUUGUGAACCAAGAAAUGCCUUUAAUCUGAUGCACCAACUAUCAUAGUUGUCUUUGGUCAGCUUCGGGAUGAGUGUUUGUGUACUUUCUGUAGUCAUUUUGCUCUUUUAAUGACUAUAUCUCCUUCUGGGAGUUGAAUUUGGCAAAACCGACACUGUAGAUCGAUCCGGAAUGGUCGAAAUAGUCGGGAACCGGUCUGACUGUGUAGAAAUCAGGUCCGAAAAUGGGUGAACCGGUCACAACACCAAAUCUGGGCGUCGGGCGGUUCGCUGGGUUGAACCGGGAAUAUUCUGCGGAAUAUUCUAUCGGCUCGGCUUAGGCUAAUAGCGGCUCGGCUUAGCGGCUCGGCUUGAAAAGGGAAUAUUCUUGGGAAUAUGCUUCGGCGCGGCUGGAGACUUGGCUUGCGGCUCGGCUCGGCGCGGCUUAAACGGCUCCAAUAUGGCGCGCGUGGACGUCACUCGUCUUCUUCCUCUGGCGCGCGUGGGCUACAGUCACCGGAUUUUCAGGAGGCGCGUGUGGCUCACCCCGGUGUCCGAUUGAGGUGAUUUUUGCGGCAGUGAGUUCGUAUGGAUGAUCUCUACACGGUGGAAUGAUCAAAACUUGUUUAUGACAACUUUGAAAAUUCGGAUAUCUCCCAAAAACACUUCUGUUUUCUGACGAACGGGGCUCUGAUACCAAUUGUUGGUGGGAGAAACCACUGGUGGUGGCUUUGAAACACUCGGAGGGGAUAAAACACACUGUUUUAUUACAAGAACAAGAAGCUUACAAACACACAGAAGCUUAAUACAAUACACGCCCUCUCUCUUUCUCUCUAGUGUUUCUCUCUACUCUCUCCACACAGAAUAACAUAAGCUUAGCUUGUUAUUUAUACACGAAUUCAAAACAAGAUAAUUCAACCUUCAAGUGUGAAGGCGGCUGUGGACGGUGGUGUGAAGGCGGCAUGCAGCUGGUGGCUGGCGGCUGGUCGGUGGCAGCUGGUGGUUGCCUUCCUUGACCAUCUAGAUUGAGUUUAAUAUUCAACA